RNAcentral lists this ribosomal RNA (552 nucleotides) under uncultured organism. RNAcentral describes it as "bacterial SSU rRNA". It matches the Rfam family "Bacterial small subunit ribosomal RNA", at positions 687 to 1239 of the family's 1533-position model. The record is from RNAcentral.
UGCAUAGAGACCACCCAGAACCCCGAUUGCGAAGGCAGCUGGCAAAACUGCCACUGACAUUGAGGCACGUAAGCGUGGGUCCCGUACAGGAUUAGAUUCCCUGGUAGUCCACUCAGUUANCGAUGACCACUGGCUUUUGGUGAUACACAAUCAGAGGCUGAGCGAAAGCAUUAAGUGGUCUACGUGGGGAUUACGUUUGCAAGUAUGAAACUCAAAGGAAGUGAUGGGGGCCCGCACAACAGGAGGAACAUGUGGUUUAAUUCGAUGAUACGCGAGGAACAUUACCUGGGCUUGAACUGUCAGUGACGCUUGGGGAAACCCAAGUUCCAUUUUGGGAGCUGUCAGAUGGUGCUGCAUGGCUGUUCUCAGCUCGUCCCCUGAGGUAUCGGGUUAAGUCCCAUAACGAGCGCUAACCCAUAUUGCUAGUUACCAGCACGUAAAGGUGGGGACUCUAAUGAGACUGCCACCGUAAGGUGAGAGGAAGAUGGGGAUGACGUCAAGUCAGCACGGCCGGUAUGUCCAGGCGAUACACACGUGUUAUAAUGGCCGGUA